Molecule: ribosomal RNA, 253 nt
Filed under: uncultured bacterium
Lineage: Bacteria
Description: partial 16S ribosomal RNA
Rfam family: Bacterial small subunit ribosomal RNA
Source: RNAcentral
UACGUAGGGGGCUAGCGUUGUCCGGAAUCAUUGGGCGUAAAGGGCGCGUAGGCGGCCAUGCGUGUCUUCCGUGAAAUCCCUCGGCUUAACUGAGGACGUGCGGAAGAAACUGCAAGGCUCGAGUCCGGGAGAGGGGGGUGGAAUUCCCAGUGUAGCGGUGAAAUGCGUAGAUAUUGGGAGGAACACCGGUGGCGAAGGCGGCCCCCUGGACCGGUACUGACGCUGAGGCGCGAAAGCGUGGGUAGCAAACGGG